GGAAGGAUCAUUACAUAAAACCCGGCGCUUUGUCGUCCGGCUCUUUUCUUGUCUAUGCGUACUCUUGUUUCCUUGGCAAGUUGAGGUUUCCUGGCUUGCCAUUAGGAGAAACUAUAAACCUUUUGUAAUAGCAUGUAUUGUCUGAUAACAUACGAAAUUGUUACAACUUUCAACAAUGGAUCUCUUGGUUCUGGCAUCGAUGAAGAACGCAGCGAAAUGCGAUAAGUAGUGUGAAUUGCAGAAUUCAGUGAAUCAUCGAAUUUUUGAACGCAUAUUGCGCCCUAUGGUAUCCCAUAGGGCAUGCCUGUUCGAGCGUCAUUUAAAAAGGUGAAAAUCUGACUUGGAAAUACAAAAAUGACUUAUCUAUUGGGCGUUUGUCUCUCUGUAGUUGACUCGCCUUAAUCUUAUUGGCAACAGUUAUACCAACUUUUUGCGCAGCAGUUCGCGUGUAUAGGUAAUGGGUAACUAGCAUCCAUAAAGCAUUAUAUGCUCCGACCUCGAAUCAGGUAGGGAUACCCGCUGAACUUAAGCAUAUCAAUAAGCGGAGGAAAAGAAACCAACUGGGAUUGCCCUAGUAACGGCGAGUGAAGCGGCAAUAGCUCAAAUUUGAAAUCCAGCUCAAAAAGAGCUCGAGUUGUAAUUUGCAGAGGGUGCUUUGGUGUUGAUAGCGGUCUAAGUUCCUUGGAACAGGACAUCGCAGAGGGUGAGAAUCCCGUAUGUGGUCGCAUAUCUUCGCCGUGUAAAGCCCCUUCAACGAGUCGAGUUGUUUGGGAAUGCAGCUCUAAGUGGGAGGUAAAUUUCUUCUAAAGCUAAAUACUGGCCAGAGACCGAUAGCGCACAAGUAGAGUGAUCGAAAGAUGAAAAGCACUUUGGAAAGAGAGUUAAAUAGCACGUGAAAUUGUUGAAAGGGAAGCGCUUACAGCGAGACUUGCCUGUAGUUGCUCAUCUGGGCUUUGGCCACAGAGCAUUCUUCUACAGGCAGGCCAGCAUCAGUUUAGGCGGCUGGAAAAUGGCCUCUGUCAUGUAUCUUCCUUUUUAGGAUGACCUUAUAGGGGAGGCGUAGUGCAGCCAGUCUAGACUGAGGUCCGCGCAAAUUUGCUAGGAUGCUGGCGUAAUGGCCGUAAGCGGCCCGUCUUGAAACACGGACCAAGGAGUCUAACAUCUAUGCGAGUGUUUGGGUGUUAAGCCCAGGCGCGCAAUGAAAGUGAACGGAGGUGGGAACCCAAUUGGGUGCACUAUCGACCGAUCCUGAUGUCUUCGGAUGGAUUUGAGUAAGAGCAUAGCUGUUGGGACCCGAAAGAUGGUGAACUAUGCUUGAAUAGGGUGAAGCCAGAGGAAACUCUGGUGGAGGCUCGCAGCGGUUCUGACGUGCAAAUCGAUCGUCAAAUUUGGGCAUAGGGGCGAAAGACUAAUCGAACUAUCUAGUAGCUGGUUCCUGC
Molecule: unclassified non-coding RNA, 1439 nt
Filed under: uncultured fungus
Lineage: Eukaryota; Fungi
Description: sequence contains 18S rRNA gene, ITS1, 5.8S rRNA gene, ITS2, 28S rRNA gene
Rfam family: Eukaryotic large subunit ribosomal RNA (bases 493-1439)
Source: RNAcentral